This 409-nucleotide long non-coding RNA is filed under the name Pan troglodytes (chimpanzee). RNAcentral's name for it is "long non-coding RNA NONPTRT008270". Lineage: Eukaryota; Metazoa; Chordata; Mammalia; Primates; Hominidae. The record is from RNAcentral.
GAGAAGACCUUGCCGCAGGCGGGGCAGGGCGCGCGCUAGGGCCGGUGAGUGCGCAUGUGCACGUUGAGCGAGCUCUUCUGCGUGAAGCGCUUGGCGCAGACGGCGCACUGGAAGGCGCGCACGCCGGUGUGCGUGACCAUGUGUUUGAGCAGGUAGUCGCGUAGAGAGAAGGAUCGCCAGCACACGGCGCACUGGUGCGGCUUCUCCCCUGCGGACGACAGGGCGGGCCGCGAACGCAAGUUUAACUCUCCGAUGAGAGAUUGCUCCCUCUCCUCCCCUGCCCUGGCUCACCCGAGUGGAUGAACAUGUGCUUGGUGUAGUUUUUCCGGGAGCUGAACGUCUUGCGACAGUGGCUGCACUCAUAGGUAGGUGGCUCAGCACCUGGGGUGCGAGCAGGGGUGCCUGAGGG